Molecule: ribosomal RNA, 109 nt
Filed under: uncultured fungus
Lineage: Eukaryota; Fungi
Also listed under: 1 other name
Description: 5.8S ribosomal RNA
Rfam family: 5.8S ribosomal RNA
About the family: 5.8S ribosomal RNA (5.8S rRNA) is a component of the large subunit of the eukaryotic ribosome.
Source: RNAcentral
AACUUUCAGCAAUGGAUCUCUUGGCUCUCGCAUCGAUGAAGAACGCAGCGAAAAGCGAUAUGUAAUGUGAAUUGCAGAUCUACAGUGAAUCAUCGAAUCUUUGAACGCA